CGGGAUCAAUCUAGGACUGUCUGCUGGUGAACAGAACUCAGGGAGAGAAAGAAUCUUCCCCAGGAUUCUUGGCACUUCCUUGUCUGGUAAAUUCACAUCUAUAUCUCCAUUUGCAAGCAUUUCAGACAAGUGUUUCUUGGCUGCAAUAUAUAAGCCAGACAUUAUCUUCUUUGAAUCUUCGCUUGAGUAGAUAGUCUCCUCUUUACCAUCCUCGGUCGUUCUUUCGUCACAGAACGGUUCUUCUUUAUCCGAAACAUCAUGCUUCUCCUCUGAUUUACUCUGUAUCUCUUCUUGCGUAGAACAGUUUUGGCUCCUCUUAUCAACAGAAACAUCACAUGACUUCUUUCCAACAGCAGAUUGUAGUCUUCUCU
Long non-coding RNA from Arabidopsis thaliana (thale cress), 371 nucleotides. RefSeq annotates it as other RNA. The transcript has a single exon. Lineage: Eukaryota; Viridiplantae; Streptophyta; Magnoliopsida; Brassicales; Brassicaceae. The record is from RefSeq.